Long non-coding RNA from Paramisgurnus dabryanus, 1548 nucleotides. RefSeq lists it as uncharacterized. NCBI's taxonomy places the organism in Eukaryota, Metazoa, Chordata, Actinopteri, Cypriniformes, Cobitidae. The record is from RefSeq and is a predicted model, not a curated record.
UUCUAAGAUGUAUGCAAACAGGGAACAUAUCGCCAAACCAACAAUUAAUUUGACCAAAACCUCACAAUAUAUCAUCAUUUGUAUGCACAGAUUGGAUGCAUUGUGUGUUGUAAGCUUUUCGUGGCGCUAGAUGUCAGACAGAUGCAAAUGGCAAAUACAUAUGAAAGUGUAAAACGUGUAUGGCGAACAUUUGUUUUUCUGUCAUUAUAGAUGCUAGUUUGGUGAAAGUACACACUGAGUGCUUCAAAUCAUUCAGAAGAGAUGCUGUUUUUAGGGCAGUUUAUUAAAGAAGACCUGACAUGGAUGACUUCCAAUGAGAAACGACUGCUAAUACUUAUAUAAAUUCAUUACAGAAGGACCCUACCAGACUAUAUUUGAAUACGGCAUACCCAUGAAUUCUGGAACUGUUAUUCCUUAAUCCAGUUUGGAGGAUAAGAGCUUACCAACUAGUUAUAAAUAUGCUGAGGUGAUGUAUUGCAAAAUAGCCAACAUACAACAAUAUGGAUGACCCUCUGUCUGGUCAACAGGAGUUUAAAUAUGGACGGGACAGUUAUGUGGCAGCUCUUCCCUGGCUCAUUCACCUCUUGCCUUUCAUUUGUGAAAGGAAGAAAGAAGAAAGAGGGUCAAUGUGCAACUGAAGCUACUGAUUGUGCUGUGUGAUGAGCAUCAAUCCAUGCUUUGAGGGGGAUGAAUCAGCACAGCCCUGCCUGCACUGCGUUGGGAACAGAAGUUGCAUCCAGAAUUUUUGCAUCAUUCUGGACCAAAAAGCCAUUCCCUCCAUGAUGAAGACCACUGAUGCAGCCUUCCACUACAUCAUGAGUAAAACAACUACAGAACUAAAUACCAGGUUGGAACGUAUUUAAGAAAAAUGAAAUGUCUUUUGAAUUGAAAUGUCUGUUUUGUUAUGGAAAAAUCUUUAGUAUUGUAAAGGAUAAGCAUUUCUGCCUGCCAGUAAGGUAAUUGCAGUGUAUUUUAAUGUUCAAGUUUUGAGUAGGGUGGCUAAUUUAUUUUAACUCUCAUUUGAUUUAUUAAAGACCUUAUAAUAAGUGGUUUUCAUGUCACUGCGCUGUGGUAUAAGAUAACUUUCAUUAUUCCAUACUGUAUUCUGUUUUCUAAUUGUAGCUGAGGGAUUUAAAUAAGCAGUGUUAAAUGCAAAGUGUUGUGUGUAUCAAUGUAAAUAUUAAAUGUGAUGUACUUUAAUAAAAAGAGGUUUUGCAAUAUUUCUUGUCAUUUGUCUUUUAUAUAAACAACCCAUUAGCAACAAAAGUGGCUAUUAAUCAGUAUUUUAACACUUAACAUUGUUGAAUUCACAUUACACUGGUGUUGACUUUAAAUUAGAAGUGUUAAUUUUUAACACUGUAUUUCUGUGCCAACACCAGUGUAGUGUGGAAACAACAAUGAAUAGUGUUGAACAAAGUGUAAAAUUUAACAAUAUUGAGUGUUAAAUUAACAUAUAAUGAGUGUUGUUAAAUUAACACUACACUUUUGACUAAAUUAACACAGUGUAGUGUGGACACAUAUACACACUUUUCCAGUGUUAAAUUUGAC